Molecule: non-coding RNA, 76 nt
Organism: Yersinia bercovieri ATCC 43970
Lineage: Bacteria; Pseudomonadati; Pseudomonadota; Gammaproteobacteria; Enterobacterales; Yersiniaceae
Source: Rfam
UGAGUGCAUCGUAAGGUGCGCUGACCGGUGGACAGGAGUCAGCAGAGGGCAUAGUAGGACGUGACGUCUGAAGGCC